AAGUGAGGCCCUAUCCUGAAGGAAUCAGUCAAAAAUCUAAACAGUCUUCUUCACAAUAGAGUAACUGUGUCGAAGCAGUCAAAAUCAAAGAAGCCUAAGUCAGGUGGUGCAGAAAUGCAGCAACUGACAAACAGCACACAGCAACCAUACACAAGGAGUUUAGAAGAGGCAUUAAGGAACACUAUACUAUACUAAAGAAUGCUAUAUCCAGUUGAAACUGCAGAGGAAAUUAAGUGAUGGAGGAAUGCUAGUGUCAGAGUGCAGGGCUACCUGAAGUCUAUAACCCUUUCUGCACAGAGGCCAGCGGAUUCUCAAGCGCGGAUACCAUAAUUGGAGUUACUCUCCAAAAUGAAUAUCUAGCAAUAAUUCAAGUUAGUUACGUUAAAGAUGACAGUUUUGUGGAACUGAGACAUUAAAAGGGCUUGCUAUGCCUGGG
Molecule: long non-coding RNA, 436 nt
Organism: Mauremys reevesii (Reeves's turtle)
Lineage: Eukaryota; Metazoa; Chordata; Testudines; Geoemydidae
Exons: 4
Source: RefSeq, a predicted model, not a curated record